GUUAGUGGCGAAAGGGUGAGGAAUAGAUAGGAACGUACCCUGUGCUCUGGGAUAGCGUCUGAAGCUUCGGCUUCUUCCGAAAGGGGCGGUAAUACCAGAUAAUGUCCUUCGGGACCAAAGAUUUAUCGGCAUUGGAGCGGCCUAUCUCCUAUCAGCUUGUUGGUGAGGUAACGGCUCACCAAGGCAACGACGGGUAGCGGGACUGAGAGGUUGGCCCGCCACAUCGGGACUGAGACACUGCCCGGACCUCCACGGAGGGCUGCAGUAACGGAUAUUGGGCAAUGGGCGAAAGCCUGACCCACCAAUGCCGCGUGCAGGAUGAAACCCCUAGGGGUGUAAACUGCUGUCAGGGGUCAGAAAGCUGGUUUCGGCCAGUUGAUCAACCCCAGAGGAAGUCACGGCUAACUUCGUGCCAGCAGCCGCGGUAAUACCAAGGUGGCAAGCGUUAUUCGGAAUCCUUGGGCUUAAAGGGCACGCAGGCGGAACAGUGUGUGUUGUGUGAAAUCCCCCCGGCUUAACCGGGGAAUUGCACAGCAAACUGCUGUUCUUGAGGCAGGUAGGGGUGCAUGGAACUCUUGGUGGAGCGGUGGGAAUGCGUAGAUAUCAAGAGGAACGCCCGACGUGAAGACGGUGCACUGGGCCUGUCCUGACGCUGAGGUGCGAAAGCGUGGGGAGCGAACGGGAUUAGAUACCCCGGUAGUCCACGCCGUAAACGAUGUCUACUAGGUCGUGGGUGUUCUGACACAUUCACGGCCGGAGCAAAAGUGUUUAGUAGACCGCCUGGGGAGUACGGCCGCAAGGUUAAAACUCAAAUGAAUUGACGGGGGCUCACACAAGCGGUGGAGCAUGUGGAUUAAUUCGAAGCAACGCGCAGAACCUUACCUGGGUUUGACAUGCUUGUAUGCCUUCUCUGAAAGGAGUUAGGCUGCCUUCGGGUGAAACUUGCACAGGUGCUGCAUGGCUGUCGUCAGCUCGUGUCGUGAGAUGUCGGGUUAAGUCCUUUAACGAGCGAAACCCUUGCCGUUAGUUGCCAGCGAGUAAUGUCGGGGACUCUAACGGGACUGCCGGUGUUAAACCGGAGGAAGGUGGGGAUGACGUCAAGUCCUCAUGGCCUUUAUGCCCAGGGCUUCACACGUGCUACAAUGGCAAUUACAGAGCGACGCGAUACCGCGAGGUGGAGCAAAUCGCAAAAAAAUUGCCUCAGUUCGGAUUGCAGGCUGGCAAUUCGCCUGCAUGAAGUCGGAAUCGCUAGUAAUCGCGUAUCAGCAAUGACGCGGUGAAUGUGUUCCUGAGCCUUGUACACACCGCCCGUCAAGUGAUGGAAGCCGGGAGUACCCGAAGUCGGGUUGCUAACC
Molecule: ribosomal RNA, 1355 nt
Filed under: uncultured organism
Description: bacterial SSU rRNA
Rfam family: Bacterial small subunit ribosomal RNA
Source: RNAcentral